RNAcentral lists this ribosomal RNA (505 nucleotides) under uncultured bacterium. Its description in RNAcentral is "partial 16S ribosomal RNA". It matches the Rfam family "Bacterial small subunit ribosomal RNA", at positions 28 to 507 of the family's 1533-position model. The record is from RNAcentral.
GACGAACGCUGGCGGCGUGCCUAAUACAUGCAAGUAGAACGCACAGUUUAUACCGUAGCUUGCUACACCAUAGACUGUGAGUUGCGAACGGGUGAGUAACGCGUAGGUAACCUGCCUGGUAGCGGGGGAUAACUAUUGGAAACGAUAGCUAAUACCGCAUAAUAUUGAUUAUUGCAUGAUAAUUGAUUGAAAGAUGCUAUUGCAUCACUACCAGAUGGACCUGCGUUGUAUUAGCUAGUAGGUGAGGUAACGGCUCACCUAGGCGACGAUACAUAGCCGACCUGAGAGGGUGAUCGGCCACACUGGGACUGAGACACGGCCCAGACUCCUACGGGAGGCAGCAGUAGGGAAUCUUCGGCAAUGGACGAAAGUCUGACCGAGCAACGCCGCGUGAGUGAAGAAGGGUUUCGGAUCGUAAAGCUCUGUUGUAAGAGAAGAACGGGUGUGAGAGUGGAAAGUUCACACUGUGACGGUAUCUGACCAGAAAGGGACGGCUAACUACGUG